GCUCCAUGACCUAGUGGUUAGAGCGUCCGCCUCGGAAGCGGAAGGUCGUGGGUUCGAUGCCCGUCGAGUCA
Molecule: non-coding RNA, 71 nt
Organism: Potamilus streckersoni
Lineage: Eukaryota; Metazoa; Mollusca; Bivalvia; Unionida; Unionidae
Source: the annotation of a GenBank genome assembly